RNAcentral lists this long non-coding RNA (2155 nucleotides) under Eutrema salsugineum. RNAcentral's name for it is "long non-coding RNA (ESAL_LNC001702)". Lineage: Eukaryota; Viridiplantae; Streptophyta; Magnoliopsida; Brassicales; Brassicaceae. The record is from RNAcentral.
UCAUAUUGCUCAAAACAUCGGCUAAAAUAAUAAUGGUGGCCCAAACCUAUAUGAAAAAAACAAAUUGUAGCCAUUUGUUCAUGGCCUCCUUUGUAGCCAUUUGUUCAUGGCCUCCUUUGUAGCCGUUUGUCCAUGGCUUUGGUGCCUGCAAUAAGAAAAACAGAUCAUGAACAAUGGAAUAUAAGAUAUACAAAUUGUAAAUGGAGUCUUGAAUAUCAUAUAUAAAACAUAGUUAACCCAAAAACUCAUAAGUUACAAAUGGAGUCUUGAAUACAAUACAUAGAACCAUUCAUCAAAAGAUAUACAACUGAAAGACUUAAUAAAAAUACAUAGAACCAUUCAUUAAAAGACAUAGAAGUUAUACCCGAUACUUAGCAUUAUGACAUACUUAACCCAAAAACUAACCCAUACCAAAGAAAAACAGACUUAACCCUUAACUCACUCAUACAAACUCUCACAUAUUUGACAACAUUUCAUUAAUGAGCUUGUUCUUAAGCUCGAAUUCUACCUCAGUAAGAGGUUCGGUUUUUCCUAGCAGAUUCUCGAGUAUCUUUUGCUUGUUAGUCUUAUCUUUCAAGGCUAACUCCUUUUCCCUUAGCUCAAAGAUGCUUCUAAAGUCCACUAAAUCCUUACCAUCUUCUUCCAAACGAGCAGCAUUGGUCUUUGUUGUUUUUUUUUGCCCUUGGAAGCUUUUACACCAGCAGGCCGAGGAAUUCCUUCAUCAUCUCCAUGCCUGAAAGGAGCAUCGGUUCCUUCAACUCUAGCACCAUCGGUUCUUCUUUUUUUUGAGCUUCCACUUCCUGCCCACUUCUGAUCAUGACGCAGUUCUCUCCAGCAGUGCUCCAUGGUGAAUUUGUGUUUGUAAUCAUUGAAAAAUAUGUCUAAAGCCAGCUUCAUUACAUCAUUUUCAUUUUGACCUGAUGUUUUUUGAGCUGAAGCUGCCUCAUACGACCCAACAAACUUGCAGACAAACUCAUUUAUCUUGGCCCAUCUCUGCUUACAGUUAGUUGGCCCUCUCUUUUCUUCAGCAGACACGUUAUCGCCGCAUAAUAGAUGGUUAUCCUUUUCCAGAAUGCAUCUGCCCUUUGCCCAUUGCUGAUGAUUGGAUCCUUGCUGGUAUUAAGCCAGGCGCUUAUGAGCACAAGAUCUUCAGCGGGAGUCCAUGGCUUCCUGGUCUUACGCUCCUUCACUUGUGAAUCACUUGGACUUGGAGCAUCACUCCAUUGUGUUCCAAACACUGGAACUUGUGAAUCACCGAGUGCUAUGGUUGUUUCCAUGGGUUCAAGGCUAUGGGUUUGGGUUAUUUGUUGGCUAGUUAGCAGGUCCAUGAAGCUUGAUGUGUCAGAAAAAGGAUUAGUUGAAUCCAUUGGAAGGUUUAGUGAAUGUGUUUAGGGUGUGUGAUUUUGGCGAGUGAGAACCAAAUGUAAGGAAAGAGGUUUGGGUGUGUGUCUUUUAAAAGAAACAAAGUGAGCUUCAAUACAUAGAAGCUUAUUCAAGAUGGAGUUAGCAUUGAAGAUAGAGUUAAAGUUAAAGUUAAGUUAGAGUUUGUAGUCAGAGUUUAUAGUUAGAGUUUGUAGUUUGUGAAGAUAUGAGCAAAAGGAACUAGUUAGAGUUUUAAUCCAAGCAUUCAUUGUGAAACAGAUGCAUUGAUUCCACUCUCUAAAACUAUUUUACAUUUAUCAACCGUGACAUAAAGCAACUACAAAACACAUCCUCAUUCAACAAAGCAUUGACUACAAUAUCUAAUGCAAACCUAACCACUACAGAGCAUUGAUUCAAGCAGUAAUCCAAUCCAUCCAAACCAUCAAUCACCAACCACAUCAAAGCGAGCCUAAUUCAUUCACUCACUAGAUUUUCGGAAAAUCAAUAAACUGAGAAGAAAUCUUACUUGUAAUAUACCCAUCUCUGACUUUGCUUUGACUGUGCUUUGCUUGCUCGAUCAAAUAAGCAUCGCCGAUCACUUGUCUGUACCUCGACCUUUAUAGAACACUCGCCACCGUUCAUCAUCCAUCCAUGCACCGAUCACCAGAACAUUUUUUUCAUCAAUGAAUUCCCAAAACAAUCUAUAGAAAACCAAUGACAAUGUUUCUGAAAUUUGAGAUUUGAAACAGAGCAGAUCAACAGAAACGACUUACAAAGACCAUCUUCUGCGGAA